GUCGAGAAUCUUUCACAAUGGGGGCAACCCUGAUGGAGCGACGCCGCGUGGAGGAUAAGGUCUUCGGAUUGUAAACUCCUGUCGUGCGUGAACAAGGUUGCUUGGUUAAUACCUGGGCAAAUUGAUGGUAACGCAAGAGGAAGAGACGGCUAACUCUGUGCCAGCAGCCGCGGUAAUACAGAGGUCUCAAGCGUUGUUCGGAAUCACUGGGCGUAAAGGGUGCGUAGGUGGCGUGGUAAGUCAGAUGUGAAAGCCCGGGGCUCAACCUCGGAACUGCAUCCGAUACUGCCAUGCUAGAGUACUGGAGAGGUGACUAGAAUUCUCGGUGUAGCAGUGAAAUGCGUAGAUAUCGAGAGGAAUACCAAAGGCGUAGGCAGGUCACUGGACAGUUACUGACACUGAGGCACGAAGGCCAGGGGAGCGAACGGGAUUAGAAACCCGAGUAGUCC
RNAcentral lists this ribosomal RNA (449 nucleotides) under uncultured bacterium. RNAcentral's name for it is "partial 16S ribosomal RNA". It matches the Rfam family "Bacterial small subunit ribosomal RNA", at positions 354 to 796 of the family's 1533-position model. The record is from RNAcentral.